RNAcentral lists this ribosomal RNA (371 nucleotides) under Staphylococcus aureus. Its description in RNAcentral is "partial 23S ribosomal RNA". It matches the Rfam family "Bacterial large subunit ribosomal RNA", at positions 1507 to 1875 of the family's 2925-position model. The record is from RNAcentral. Lineage: Bacteria; Bacillati; Bacillota; Bacilli; Caryophanales; Staphylococcaceae.
CACGUCUAAGCAGUAAGGCUGAGUAUUAGGCAAAUCCGGUACUCGUUAAGGCUGAGCUGUGAUGGGGAGAAGACAUUGUGUCUUCGAGUCGUUGAUUUCACACUGCCGAGAAAAGCCUCUAGAUAGAAAAUAGGUGCCCGUACCGCAAACCGACACAGGUAGUCAAGAUGAGAAUUCUAAGGUGAGCGAGCGAACUCUCGUUAAGGAACUCGGCAAAAUGACCCCGUAACUUCGGGAGAAGGGGUGCUCUUUAGGGUUAACGCCCAGAAGAGCCGCAGUGAAUAGGCCCAAGCGACUGUUUAUCAAAAACACAGGUCUCUGCUAAACCGUAAGGUGAUGUAUAGGGGCUGACGCCUGCCCGGUGCUGGAAG